GAUGAACGCUGGCGGCGUGCUUAACACAUGCAAGUCGAACGCUGAAGCCUGGUGCUUGCACUGGGUGGAUGAGUGGCGAACGGGUGAGUAACACGUGAGUAACCUGCCCUUGACUUCGGGAUAAGCCCGGGAAACUGGGUCUAAUACUGGAUAUGACCUCCUACUGCAUGGUGGGGGGUGGAAAGAUUUAUCGGUUGGGGAUGGACUCGCGGCCUAUCAGUUUGUUGGUGGGGUAAUGGCCUACCAAGACGACGACGGGUAGCCGGCCUGAGAGGGUGACCGGCCACACUGGGACUGAGACACGGCCCAGACUCCUACGGGAGGCAGCAGUGAGGAAUAUUGCACAAUGGGCGCAAGCCUGAUGCAGCGACGCCGCGUGAGGGAUGACGGCCUUCGGGUUGUAAACCUCUUUCAGUAGGGAAGCAGCCCCUCGGGGUGACGGUACCUGCAGAAGAAGCGCCGGCUAACUACGUGCCAGCAGCCGCGGUAAUACGUAGGGCGCAAGCGUUAUCCGGAAUUAUUGGGCGUAAAGAGCUCGUAGGCGGUUUGUCGCGUCUGCUGUGAAAGCCCGGGGCUUAACUCCGGGUGUGCAGUGGGUACGGGCAGGCUAGAGUGCAGUAGGGGAGACUGGAAUUCCUGGUGUAGCGGUGGAAUGCGCAGAUAUCAGGAGGAACACCGAUGGCGAAGGCAGGUCUCUGGGCUGUUACUGACGCUGAGGAGCGAAAGCAUGGGGAGCAAACAGGAUUAGAUACCCUGGUAGUCCAUGCCGUAAACGUUGGGCACUAGGUGUGGGGGACAUUCCACGUUUUCCGCGCCGUAGCUAACGCAUUAAGUGCCCCGCCUGGGGAGUACGGCCGCAAGGCUAAAACUCAAAGGAAUUGACGGGGGCCCGCACAAGCGGCGGAGCAUGCGGAUUAAUUCGAUGCAACGCGAAGAACCUUACCAAGGCUUGACAUGGACCGGAUCGGCGCAGAGAUGUGUUUUCCCUUCGGGGCUGGUUCACAGGUGGUGCAUGGUUGUCGUCAGCUCGUGUCGUGAGAUGUUGGGUUAAGUCCCGCAACGAGCGCAACCCUCGCUCUAUGUUGCCAGCACGUUAUGGUGGGGACUCAUGGGAGACUGCCGGGGUCAACUCGGAGGAAGGUGGGGAUGACGUCAAAUCAUCAUGCCCCUUAUGUCUUGGGCUUCACGCAUGCUACAAUGGCCGGUACAAUGGGUUGCGAUACUGUGAGGUGGAGCUAAUCCCAAAAAGCCGGUCUCAGUUCGGAUUGGGGUCUGCAACUCGACCCCAUGAAGUCGGAGUCGCUAGUAAUCGCAGAUCAGCAACGCUGCGGUGAAUACGUUCCCGGGCCU
Molecule: ribosomal RNA, 1350 nt
Filed under: uncultured bacterium
Lineage: Bacteria
Description: bacterial SSU rRNA
Rfam family: Bacterial small subunit ribosomal RNA
Source: RNAcentral